Molecule: ribosomal RNA, 2114 nt
Filed under: Salmonella enterica
Lineage: Bacteria; Pseudomonadati; Pseudomonadota; Gammaproteobacteria; Enterobacterales; Enterobacteriaceae
Also listed under: 1 other name
Description: partial 23S ribosomal RNA
Rfam family: Bacterial large subunit ribosomal RNA
Source: RNAcentral
GGGUUGUGAGGUUAAGCGACUAAGCGUACACGGUGGAUGCCCUGGCAGUCAGAGGCGAUGAAGGGCGUGCUAAUCUGCGAUAAGCGCCGGUAAGGUGAUAUGAACCGUUAUAACCGGCGAUACCCGAAUGGGGAAACCCAGUGUGAUUCGUCACACUAUCAUUAACUGAAUCCAUAGGUUAAUGAGGCGAACCGGGGGAACUGAAACAUCUAAGUACCCCGAGGAAAAGAAAUCAACCGAGAUUCCCCCAGUAGCGGCGAGCGAACGGGGAGGAGCCCAGAGCCUGAAUCAGCAUGUGUGUUAGUGGAAGCGUCUGGAAAGGCGCGCGAUACAGGGUGACAGCCCCGUACACAAAAGCGCAUAUGCUGUGAGCUCGAUGAGUAGGGCGGGACACGUGGUAUCCUGUCUGAAUAUGGGGGGACCAUCCUCCAAGGCUAAAUACUCCUGACUGACCGAUAGUGAACCAGUACCGUGAGGGAAAGGCGAAAAGAACCCCGGCGAGGGGAGUGAAAAAGAACCUGAAACCGUGUACGUACAAGCAGUGGGAGCCCCACCACUAAGCCAGUGGUGAACUCCACAUACGCAUCCUUUGCUGAGGAGACGGUUAACGGAGCGAAAGCGACGUUCAACCUCAAAAGAAGCAGAGGGGGCUUAGUGGUGGGGUGACUGCGUACCUUUUGUAUAAUGGGUCAGCGACUUAUAUUCUGUAGCAAGGUUAACUGUAUAGGGGAGCCGGAGGGAAACCGAGUCUUAACCGGGCGUUAAGUUGCAGGGUAUAGACCCGAAACCCGGUGAUCUAGCCAUGGGCAGGUUGAAGGUUGGGUAACACUAACUGGAGGACCGAACCGACUAAUGUUGAAAAAUUAGCGGAUGACCUGUGGCUGGGGGUGAAAGGCCAAUCAAACCGGGAGAUAGCUGGUUCUCCCCGAAAGCUAUUUAGGUAGCGCCUCGUGAAUUCAUCUCCGGGGGUAGAGCACUGUUUCGGCUAGGGGGCCAUCCCGGCUUACCAACCCGAUGCAAACUGCGAAUACCGGAGAAUGUUAUCACGGGAGACACACGGCGGGUGCUAAUGUCCGUCGUGAAGAGGGAAACAACCCAGACCGCCAGCUAAGGUCCCAAAGUCAUGGUUAAGUGGGAAACGAUGUGGGAAGGCCCAGACAGCCAGGAUGUUGGCUUAGAAGCAGCCAUCAUUUAAAGAAAGCGUAAUAGCUCACUGGUCGAGUCGGCCUGCGCGGAAGAUGUAACGGGGCUAAACCAUGCACCGAAGCUGCGGCAGCGACACCGUGUGUUGUUGGGUAGGGGAGCGUUCUGUAAGCCUGUGAAGGUGUGCUGUGAGGCAUGCUGGAGGUAUCAGAAGUGCGAAUGCUGACAUAAGUAACGAUAAAGCGGGUGAAAAGCCCGCUCGCCGGAAGACCAAGGGUUCCUGUCCAACGUUAAUCGGGGCAGGGUGAGUCGACCCCUAAGGCGAGGCCGAAAGGCGUAGUCGAUGGGAAACGGGUUAAUAUUCCCGUACUUGGUGUUACUGCGAAGGGGGGACGGAGAAGGCUAUGUUGGCCGGGCGACGGUUGUCCCGGUUUAAGCGUGUAGGUAUGUGUUCCAGGUAAAUCCGGUUCACUUUAACACUGAGGCGUGACGACGAGGCACUACGGUGCUGAAGCAACAAAUGCCCUGCUUCCAGGAAAAGCCUCUAAGCAUCAGGUAACAUCAAAUCGUACCCCAAACCGACACAGGUGGUCAGGUAGAGAAUACCAAGGCGCUUGAGAGAACUCGGGUGAAGGAACUAGGCAAAAUGGUGCCGUAACUUCGGGAGAAGGCACGCUGACACGUAGGUGAAGUGAUUUACUCACGGAGCUGAAGUCAGCCGAAGAUACCAGCUGGCUGCAACUGUUUAUUAAAAACACAGCACUGUGCAAACACGAAAGUGGACGUAUACGGUGUGACGCCUGCCCGGUGCCGGAAGGUUAAUUGAUGGGGUCAGCGCAAGCGAAGCUCCUGAUCGAAGCCCCGGUAAACGGCGGCCGUAACUAUAACGGUCCUAAGGUAGCGAAAUUCCUUGUCGGGUAAGUUCCGACCUGCACGAAUGGCGUAAUGAUGGCCAGGCUGUCUCCACCCGA